This 443-nucleotide ribosomal RNA is filed under the name uncultured bacterium. RNAcentral's name for it is "bacterial SSU rRNA". It matches the Rfam family "Bacterial small subunit ribosomal RNA", at positions 29 to 491 of the family's 1533-position model. The record is from RNAcentral.
ACGAACGCUGGCGGCGUGCUUAACACAUGCAAGUCGAGCGGUAAGGCCCUUUCGGGGGUACACGAGCGGCGAACGGGUGAGUAACACGUGGGUGACCUGCCCUCAGCUCUGGGAUAAGCCUGGGAAACCGGGUCUAAUACCGGAUAUGACUCCAUGACGCAUGUUGUGGGGUGGAAAGCCUUGUGCGGCUGAGGAUGGGCCCGCGGCCUAUCAGCUUGUUGGUGGGGUGAUGGCCUACCAAGGCGACGACGGGUAGCCGGCCUGAGAGGGCGACCGGCCACACUGGGACUGAGACACGGCCCAGACUCCUACGGGAGGCAGCAGUGGGGAAUCUUGCGCAAUGGGCGAAAGCCUGACGCAGCGACGCCGCGUGGGUGACGAAGGUCUUCGGAUCGUAAAGCCCUUUCUGCGUGACGAGAACGGACGGUAGCGCAGGAAUAAGU